Molecule: ribosomal RNA, 710 nt
Filed under: uncultured Enterobacteriaceae bacterium
Lineage: Bacteria; Pseudomonadati; Pseudomonadota; Gammaproteobacteria; Enterobacterales; Enterobacteriaceae
Description: bacterial SSU rRNA
Rfam family: Bacterial small subunit ribosomal RNA
Source: RNAcentral
UAGUCACGCUGUAAACGAUGUCGAUUUGGAGUUUGGGGGCAUGACCCUUUGGCUCCGGAGCUAACGCGUUAAAUCGACCGCUGGGGAGUACGGCCGCAAGGUUAAAACUCAAAUGAAUUGACGGGGGCCCGCACAAGCGGUGGAGCAUGUGGUUUAAUUCGAUGCAACGCGAAGAACCUUACCUGGUCUUGACAUCCAUAGAAUCUUUCAGAGAUGAGAGAGUGCCUUCGGGAGCUAUGAGACAGGUGCUGCAUGGCUGUCGUCAGCUCGUGUUGUGAAAUGUUGGGUUAAGUCCCGCAACGAGCGCAACCCCUAUCCUUUGUUGCCAGCACGUAAUGGUGGGAACUCAAAGGAGACUGCCGUUGAUAAAGCGGAGGAAGGUGGGGACGACGUCAAGUCAUCAUGGCCCUUACGACCAGGGCUACACACGUGCUACAAUGGCGUAUACAAAGGGAUGCGAAGGUGCGAACUGGAGCGGACCUCACAAAGUACGUCUAAGUCCGGAUUGGAGUCUGCAACUCGACUCCAUGAAGUCGGAAUCGCUAGUAAUCGUGAAUCAGAAUGUCACGGUGAAUACGUUCCCGGGCCUUGUACACACCGCCCGUCACACCAUGGGAGUGGGUUGCACCAGAAGUAGAUAGCUUAACCUUCGGGAGGGCGUUUACCACGGUGUGGUUCAUGACUGGGGUGAAGUCGUAACAAGGUAACCA